Molecule: non-coding RNA, 85 nt
Filed under: uncultured Butyrivibrio sp.
Lineage: Bacteria; Bacillati; Bacillota; Clostridia; Lachnospirales; Lachnospiraceae
Description: NiCo riboswitch
Rfam family: NiCo (Nickel/Cobalt) riboswitch aptamer
Source: RNAcentral
ACAGUACAAACUGAACAGACCGUGACGGUAUGUCAUGGAGUCGGGUCACAGGAGUGACAGUGGUAUCGUUCAUCCACGGGACAGU